Molecule: ribosomal RNA, 253 nt
Filed under: uncultured bacterium
Lineage: Bacteria
Description: partial 16S ribosomal RNA
Rfam family: Bacterial small subunit ribosomal RNA
Source: RNAcentral
UACGGAGGAUCCAAGCGUUAUCCGGAAUCAUUGGGUUUAAAGGGUCCGUAGGCGGUUUACUAAGUCAGUGGUGAAAACCCAUCGCUCAACGGUGGAACGGCCAUUGAUACUGUUAAACUUGAAUUAUUAGGAAGUAACUAGAAUAUGUAGUGUAGCGGUGAAAUGCUUAGAGAUUACAUGGAAUACCAAUUGCGAAGGCAGGUUACUACUAAUGGAUUGACGCUGAUGGACGAAAGCGUGGGUAGCGAACAGG